UUCCGGUUGAUCCUGCCGGACCCGACUGCUAUUUGGGUGAGAGUAAGCCAUGCGAGUUGUAUGGGACACCUAAUUUUCCCAUGGCAAACUGCUCAGUAACACAUGAUCAACUUACCCUAUAGAGGAAAAUAACCUCGGGAAACUGAGGAUAAUCUUCCAUAGUUGAAUCGGCUUGGAAAAGUUUUUCAAUAAAAGGGAUAAGAAAAAUGGUUCUUAUCUGCUAUAGGAUAGGAUCGUGCUCGAUUAUGGUUGUUGGUGAGGUAACGGCUCACCAAGCCGAUAAUCGAUAGGGGCCGUGAGAGCGGGAGCCCCGAGAUGGGUACUGAGACAACGACCCAGGCCUUACGAGGCGCAGCAGGCGCGGAACCUCCGCAAUACACGAAAGUGUGACGGGGUUACCCAAAGUGUUCUAUUUAGAACUGUGGUAGGUGAGUAAUGUCCCCUACUAGAAAGGAGAGGGCAAGGCUGGUGCCAGCCGCCGCGGUAAAACCAGCUCUUCAAGUGGUCGGGAUAAUUAUUGGGCUUAAAGUGUCCGUAGCCGGUUUAGAAAGUUCCUGGUAAAAUCGGGUAGCUUAACUAUCUGUAUGCUAGGAAUACUACUUUACUAGAGGGCGGGAGAGGUUUGAGGUACUACAGGGGUAGGGGUGAAAUCUUAUAAUCCUUGUAGGACCACCAGUGGCGAAGGCGUCAGACUGGAACGCGCCUGACGGUGAGGGACGAAAGCCAGGGGAGCGAACCGGAUUAGAUACCCGGGUAGUCCUGGCCGUAAACGAUGCAUACUAGGUGAUGGUACGGCCAUGAGCCGUGUCAGUGCCGUAGGGAAACCGUUAAGUGUGCCGCCUGGGAAGUACGGUCGCAAGGCUAAACUUAAGGAUUGGCGGGGAGCACACAAGGGGUGAAGCCUGCGUCAUGGAUCACGCG
Molecule: ribosomal RNA, 921 nt
Filed under: uncultured archaeon
Lineage: Archaea
Description: bacterial SSU rRNA
Rfam family: Archaeal small subunit ribosomal RNA
Source: RNAcentral